Molecule: ribosomal RNA, 253 nt
Filed under: uncultured bacterium
Lineage: Bacteria
Description: partial 16S ribosomal RNA
Rfam family: Bacterial small subunit ribosomal RNA
Source: RNAcentral
UACGUAGGGCGCAAGCGUUAUCCGGAAUUAUUGGGCGUAAAGAGCUCGUAGGCGGUUUGUCGCGUCUGCCGUGAAAGUCCGGGGCUCAACUCCGGAUCUGCGGUGGGUACGGGCAGACUAGAGUGAUGUAGGGGAGACUGGAAUUCCUGGUGUAGCGGUGAAAUGCGCAGAUAUCAGGAGGAACACCGAUGGCGAAGGCAGGUCUCUGGGCCACUACUGACGCUGAGAAGCGAAAGCAUGGGGAGCAAACAGG